GGGGAUGAAUCAGCAUCGACGACGAACCUUUCACCAUCAUGCAAGCCGAGGGCGUUGGUCACCUCGUAAAUCUCACCGACACAAUGACAACUGCCAACGUCAUUUCAAAAGUGAAGAACUUCAUCGCUUCGGUGAUGCAAGUUCCGACCUUUGCUCCGGCCCUCGCUUAAACGCGAUUGUUGCCGGACCGAUCCCCUCUUUGGCGUCUCAACGAAGAGGAUCGAUCGUCAUACAUUGAGGCUUGAUCUCGCAUCCGUUCUCGAUUGCGAGAUGACAGGCCACGAGAACUGGCGCUUCCAUGCCUCGUCCGUUCCCUGAAGGUGGCGUAAGAUUCCGCCGAAAGGCGGAUUGAGCGGUCUAAGCUUGUGAAUGAAUGCGGGUUGAGUUUCGCUCGGACGGGGGUGCGAUACCCCCCAUCUCCAUAG
This 425-nucleotide transfer-messenger RNA is filed under the name Candidatus Uhrbacteria bacterium. It matches the Rfam family "transfer-messenger RNA". Rfam says of the family: Bacterial tmRNA, also known as 10Sa RNA or SsrA, is named for its dual tRNA and mRNA-like properties. Its role is to liberate the mRNA from a stalled ribosome. The record is from RNAcentral. Lineage: Bacteria; Candidatus Uhriibacteriota.